UACGUAGGGUGCAAGCGUUAAUCGGAAUUACUGGGCGUAAAGCGUGCGCAGGCGGUUAUGCAAGUCAGAUGUGAAAUCCCCGGGCUCAACCUGGGAACUGCAUCCGAGACUGCAUUGCUAGAGUAUGGGAGAGGGAAGCGGAAUUUCUGGUGUAGCAGUGAAAUGCGUAGAUAUCUGGAGGAAUACCGGUGGCGAAGGCGGCAUCCUGGACCGAGAUUGACACUAAAGCGCGAAAGCCAGGGGAGCAAACGGG
This 253-nucleotide ribosomal RNA is filed under the name uncultured bacterium. RNAcentral's name for it is "partial 16S ribosomal RNA". It matches the Rfam family "Bacterial small subunit ribosomal RNA", at positions 524 to 776 of the family's 1533-position model. The record is from RNAcentral.